Molecule: ribosomal RNA, 253 nt
Filed under: uncultured bacterium
Lineage: Bacteria
Description: partial 16S ribosomal RNA
Rfam family: Bacterial small subunit ribosomal RNA
Source: RNAcentral
UACGUAGGGUGCGAGCGUUAAUCGGAAUUACUGGGCGUAAAGCGUGCGUAGGCGGCUUUGCAAGACAGAUGUGAAAUCCCCGGGCUUAACCUGGGAACUGCAUUUGUGACUGCAUGGCUGGAGUGCGGCAGAGGGGGAUGGAAUUCCGCGUGUAGCAGUGAAAUGCGUAGAUAUGCGGAGGAACACCGAUGGCGAAGGCAAUCCCCUGGGCCUGCACUGACGCUCAUGCACGAAAGCGUGGGGAGCAAACAGG